AAGAGCUCGUAGGCGGUUUGUCGCGUCUGCCGUGAAAGUCCGAGGCUCAACUUCGGAUCUGCGGUGGGUACGGGCAGACUAGAGUGAUGUAGGGGAGACUGGAAUUCCUGGUGUAGCGGUGAAAUGCGCAGAUAUCAGGAGGAACACCGAUGGCGAAGGCAGGUCUCUGGGCAUCUACUGACGCUGAGGAGCGAAAGCAUGGGGAGCGAACAGGAUUAGAUACCCUGGUAGUCCAUGCCGUAAACGUUGGGCACUAGGUGUGGGGGACAUUCCACGUUUUCCGCGCCGUAGCUAACGCAUUAAGUGCCCCGCCUGGGGAGUACGGCCGCAAGGCUAAAACUCAAAGGAAUUGACGGGGGCCCGGCACAAGCGGCGGAGCAUGCGGAUUAAUUCGAUGCAACGCGAAGAACCUUACCAAGGCUUGACAUGUGCUAGAUCGCCAUAGAAAUAUGGUUUCCCCUUUGGGGCUGGUUCACAGGUGGUGCAUGGUUGUCGUCAGCUCGUGUCGUGAGAUGUUGGGUUAAGUCCCGCAACGAGCGCAACCCUCGUUCUAUGUUGCCAGCACGUUAUGGUGGGGACUCAUAGGAGACUGCCGGGGUCAACUCGGAGGAAGGUGGGGACGACGUCAAAUCAUCAUGCCCCUUAUGUCUUGGGCUUCACGCAUGCUACAAUGGCCGGUACAAUGGGUUGCGAUACUGUGAGGUGGAGCUAAUCCCAAAAAGCCGGUCUCAGUUCGGAUUGGGGUCUGCAACUCGACCCCAUGAAGUCGGAGUCGCUAGUAAUCGCAGAUCAGCAACGCUGCGGUGAAUACGUUCCCGGGCCUUGUACACACCGCCCGUCAAGUCACGAAAGUUGGUAACACCCGAAGCCGGUGGCCUAACCCCUUGUGGGAGGGAGCCGUCGAARGUGGGACUGGCGAUUGGGACUAAGUCGUAACAAGGUAACCGUAA
Molecule: ribosomal RNA, 950 nt
Filed under: Arthrobacter sp. Tianshan213-11
Lineage: Bacteria; Bacillati; Actinomycetota; Actinomycetes; Micrococcales; Micrococcaceae
Description: bacterial SSU rRNA
Rfam family: Bacterial small subunit ribosomal RNA
Source: RNAcentral